Molecule: long non-coding RNA, 415 nt
Organism: Neogale vison (American mink)
Lineage: Eukaryota; Metazoa; Chordata; Mammalia; Carnivora; Mustelidae
Exons: 3
Source: RefSeq, a predicted model, not a curated record
GAAGGCCUGGACUAGGCAGCCUCUCAGCCAAGCCGACUUUCCAGGCCCUCACAGCCCUGUCACCUACACUUCUCGGGCGUGUUUUUCUCAGUGACGUGUGGGUGGUGUGCGUGGAGUGGCCUGGAGAGAGGAGCAACACACUCAGACUCUUCCUGAACAGGGCUUGAGCGCCCCUGAGAGGACAAGAAUGUGUGGAAGACCAGAGGGGAGACAUGGAACCACCCAGAGUGCUGGACUCCCCCCCCCCCCCAGCCGGAGGCUGGAGUUCAAUGAGCACCUGGUGGAGAGAAGGAACAGCAGGAGUGGGCAGCCACACCCAGUGUUGGGAGGAUUCCAAGCCUCGGGCAAUGUAAAAGGCACUCCCUUCUCUAACCAGAAUUGGCCCGGAAAUGAAUAAAUACCCAUAAAAAAAUCA